CACGUAGGGGGCGAGCGUUGUCCGGAUUUAUUGGGCGUAAAGAGCUCGUAGGCGGCUCAGUAAGUCAGGUGUGAAAACUCCAGGCUCAACCUGGAGACGCCACUUGAUACUGCUGUGGCUAGAGUCCGGUAGGGGAGCAUGGAAUUCCUGGUGUAGCGGUGAAAUGCGCAGAUAUCAGGAGGAACACCAGUGGCGAAGGCGGUGCUCUGGGCCGAUACUGACGCUGAGGAGCGAAAGCAUGGGGAGCGAACAGG
Molecule: ribosomal RNA, 254 nt
Filed under: uncultured bacterium
Lineage: Bacteria
Description: partial 16S ribosomal RNA
Rfam family: Bacterial small subunit ribosomal RNA
Source: RNAcentral